AGUAAUGCCUAGGAAUCUGCCUGGUAGUGGGGGACAACGCUUCGAAAGGAACGCUAAUACCGCAUACGUCCUACGGGAGAAAGCAGGGGACCUUCGGGCCUUGCGCUAUCAGAUGAGCCUAGGUCGGAUUAGCUAGUUGGUGAGGUAAUGGCUCACCAAGGCGACGAUCCGUAACUUGUCUGAGAGGAUGAUCAGUCACACUGGAACUGAGACACGGUCCAG
RNAcentral lists this ribosomal RNA (222 nucleotides) under uncultured Pseudomonadales bacterium. Its description in RNAcentral is "partial 16S ribosomal RNA". It matches the Rfam family "Bacterial small subunit ribosomal RNA", at positions 109 to 334 of the family's 1533-position model. Lineage: Bacteria; Pseudomonadati; Pseudomonadota; Gammaproteobacteria; Pseudomonadales. The record is from RNAcentral.